Molecule: small RNA, 682 nt
Filed under: Pongo abelii (Sumatran orangutan)
Lineage: Eukaryota; Metazoa; Chordata; Mammalia; Primates; Hominidae
Description: retained intron
Source: RNAcentral
CUCUACUGAGAUGAAGAAAGAAAAAGAAUACAUGCUCAGCUCCAGGGACACGUAAAGGGACAGAGAUUGGGGGACAGAAGGAAGUGCAUUAAUUCCUUCCACGACCCCUGAAGAGCAGCGGUGGGUCUGAGCAUGCUAUCUCCAUGAAGCAGGCCAGCAGGCAAGCCAGCUGCCACCUCGUCCUGUGCAAAGCACAGGCACCGUCCCCAAAAGAUUUCCAAAGAUGAUGUUAAACCCAGCCAUGGUUCUCAUCUCCAGGAAAGCAAUUGCUGUGGUACAAAAGGACAAGGGUUAAAAGAGAACAGUGGGAGCUCUCUUUCCCAACUAACUCCAGGUGUGACGCAGAGGCUUUCAGCACAGGCCAGGGUGCCCGGGACUGAAAACUCCUUCACCAACCCCUCCACAGACAGAGUCUUACACUGUUACCCAGGCUGGAGUGCAGUGGUGUGAUCUCGGCUCACUGCAAACUCCGCCUCCCAGGUUCACACCAUCCUCCUGCCUCAGCCUCCUGAGUAGCUGGGACUACAGGCGCCCGCCACCGCACCCAGCUAAUUUUUUGUACUGUGUUAGCCAGGAUAGUCUCAGUCUCCUGACCUUGUGACCACCUGCCUCAGCCUCCCAAAGCACUGGGAUUACAGGCGUGAGCCACCGCGCCAGGCCUAUUUAAGCUGAUUCUUUAAGG